Molecule: microRNA, 21 nt
Filed under: Echinops telfairi (small Madagascar hedgehog)
Lineage: Eukaryota; Metazoa; Chordata; Mammalia; Afrosoricida; Tenrecidae
Description: Ete-Mir-504-v2_3p* (star (passenger))
Source: RNAcentral
GGGAGAGCAGAGCAGGGUUUC